GUCGGCGGUCUGACGCUGGCGUACGCGCUUCGUAUCGCUUAGUCUCAACGCUCUCUAGUAACAAAGGUAUCAAUUCCAUUCAUCUCUUAAGUCGGUCCCCUAGUUCCGAUCUUUCAAAAAGUUUGCAAACUUUGAAGUUAAUUUUUAACUCACACUACCCGAAGUCGGUCCCAAGAUAGUUACAACUGUGCCAGUACCCGUAGUUCCUUAGAAGAACGAAGAUAUUCAGACAACAACUAAUGUAACAACAAAAAUAUAGCGCGCUUACAAGGAUCAAGUGAAAAGUACUUAAGAUGGCGAGAGAAGAGUCGUGUCUGCCGCGGACCGCCGCGCUGGCGGCCGCGAUUCUCAUCCUGCUAAGUGCGUCAGGCGAGUGCCUCCAGUGCUACUGGUGCGGGCCGCUGGCGGAGCAGGUGCACCGGCG
Ostrinia nubilalis (European corn borer) is the source of this 424-nucleotide long non-coding RNA. RefSeq lists it as uncharacterized. The record is from RefSeq and is a predicted model, not a curated record. The transcript is spliced from 3 exons. Lineage: Eukaryota; Metazoa; Arthropoda; Insecta; Lepidoptera; Crambidae.